CAGGCUGGUCGGGCAAUCGCGGUCCUGUGUUUACGGGAUCGAGGAAAGUCCGCACUCCAAAGAGCACGGCGUCGGAUAGCACCCGGGGUGGGGAAACCGCUGAGAAGCGUUAACCUACCGGAUUAGGGCCACAGAAACAGACAGCCCAACACCGUAAAAAGUAUUGGGUGAUGGUGAAAAGGUGGCGUAAGAGACCACCGGCGUCUGCAGCAAUGCGGAUGGCCAGGUAACCCCCGCCGGGAGCAAGGCCAAGCAGGGGCGAAAUCGUCUGUGGACGAUGGGAGACUGCUCGUCUCCACAUGUGCCGACUCCAACCGUGGAGACGGCCAGCCCCGGGUAGGCCGCACCGAGCGGCGCGGCAACGCGCUGCCCAGAGAGAUGAUUGCACAGUGAGGCACCGCUCAGCGGAGGCUUCAUGGACAGAAUGCGGCUUAUAGACCGGCCUGAAAU
RNAcentral lists this RNase P RNA (450 nucleotides) under Chloroflexi bacterium RBG_16_51_16. RNAcentral describes it as "RNase P RNA component class A". It matches the Rfam family "Bacterial RNase P class A". From Rfam's summary of the family: Ribonuclease P (RNase P) is a ubiquitous endoribonuclease, found in archaea, bacteria and eukarya as well as chloroplasts and mitochondria. Its best characterised activity is the generation of mature 5'-ends of tRNAs by cleaving the 5'-leader elements of precursor-tRNAs. Lineage: Bacteria; Bacillati; Chloroflexota. The record is from RNAcentral.